This 375-nucleotide ribosomal RNA is filed under the name uncultured bacterium. Its description in RNAcentral is "bacterial SSU rRNA". It matches the Rfam family "Bacterial small subunit ribosomal RNA", at positions 524 to 898 of the family's 1533-position model. The record is from RNAcentral.
UACGGAGGGUGCAAGCGUUAAUCGGAAUUACUGGGCGUACAGCGCACGCAGGCGGUCUGUCAAGUCGGAUGUGAAAUCCCCGGGCUCAACCUGGGAACUGCAUUCGAAACUGGCAGGCUAGAGUCUUGUAGAGGGGGGUAGAAUUCCAGGUGUAGCGGUGAAAUGCGUAGAGAUCUGGAGGAAUACCGGUGGCGAAGGCGGCCCCCUGGACAAAGACUGACGCUCAGGUGCGAAAGCGUGGGGAGCAAACAGGAUUAGAUACCCUGGUAGUCCACGCCGUAGACGAUGUCGAUUUGGGGGUUGUGCCCUUGAGGCGUGGCUUCCGGAGCUAACGCGUUAAAUCGACCGCCUGGGGAGUACGGCCGCAAGGUUAAA